This 496-nucleotide ribosomal RNA is filed under the name uncultured bacterium. Its description in RNAcentral is "partial 16S ribosomal RNA". It matches the Rfam family "Bacterial small subunit ribosomal RNA", at positions 30 to 523 of the family's 1533-position model. The record is from RNAcentral.
AUUGAACGCUGGCGGAAUGCUUUACACAUGCAAGUCGAACGGUAGAGGGGGCAACCCCUUGAGAGUGGCGAACGGGUGAGUAAUGUAUCGGAACGUGCCCAGUCGUGGGGGAUAACGUAGUGAAAAUUACGCUAAUACCGCAUACGAUCUAUGGAUGAAAGCGGGGGAUCGCAAGACCUCGCGCGAUUGGAGCGGCCGAUAUCAGAUUAGGUAGUUGGUAGGUUAAAGGCCUACCAAGCCAACGAUCUGUAGCUGGUCUGAGAGGACGACCAGCCACACUGGAACUGAGACACGGUCCAGACUCCUACGGGAGGCAGCAGUGGGGAAUUUUGGACAAUGGGCGAAAGCCUGAUCCAGCCAUUCCGCGUGCAGGAUGAAGGCCCUCGGGUUGUAAACUGCUUUUGUACAGAACGAAAAGGUUUCUAUUAAUACUAGGAGCUCAUGACGGUACUGUAAGAAUAAGCACCGGCUAACUACGUGCCAGCCGCCGCAGUAA